AACCAAACCUAGCUAAUUGAUACAAAUGGUACACUUGAUGACAGACCAGCCAAGAAUGAUUUAUUAUACGAUAAUAAAUUACUAUUUUAACAGAAACACCAGGCAAAAAAACGAUGAGAAUGACAUUUUACACAGAUAGUUUUGAACGUUUGCGGAACAUCAAUGGUAUAGGUUUCCUGACUCGUCUAACUAUAAUAUCAGUGAAAAGAUUGUUUGUAAUUGUGUGAAUUUACCAGUAGAGAUAUUAUACGUCGGCGACGGUGUAGAUUUGAUAGCAAACAGUUGUGAAAGUCAUUAAUAAUUCAUGAAGAAAACACAAACGAAAUCAGAGCGUGAAGGAGUUUGUAUAUCUGAUACAAAAUCAUGCUGAUCAACAUAAACUUUAAGCUCAAUUUUCUCACCAAAUAUCAUUCAUUUAUUUGAAAUUGUUGAAGAAUACGAAUGUUCUCAUCAAGAAGUUUCACAAGCCAUUAGGGGGGAGCUUAACAUACCUACGACGCGGACGUGACGAAAAACUGCCGCUAUUUUCACAGUUUCGCCUGACGGGUAAAAACUAUGGAU
Molecule: non-coding RNA, 561 nt
Organism: Paramuricea clavata
Lineage: Eukaryota; Metazoa; Cnidaria; Anthozoa; Malacalcyonacea; Plexauridae
Source: the annotation of a GenBank genome assembly